GGAAGGAUCAUUAAAACAAUCCAUUGUUAACCCAUCUGUGAACUUGUUUGACAGUAAUGUCAGAGUGGAAGAGAGUGAUGUGGCGUAAAAAGAUUGUGAGCAAUCGCAGUCUUUUCGGCUCUUUUUCCGUCUUCAUGCGCAAGCGUGGGGGAACUCUGAUGUUGCUUCGCCAUGUUUUAUACUUAACCCCAUUUACUUUUUUGUACUAACCUUUUUUUUAUUUUCCGCUUAAAACCCGGAACUUAAAUCAAAAAAUAUAAUAACAUUGAACAACUUUUAACAACGGAUAUCUAGGCUCUCAUCUCGAUGAAGAACGCAGCGAAAUGCGAUACGUAAUGCGAAUUGCAGAAUUCAGUGAAUCAUCAAAUUUUUGAACGCAUCUUGCGCCUUCGGGUGACCGAGGGCAUGCCUCUUUGAGUAUCGUUUCAAACCCACUCGGCUGCGACCUUUUCUUCGGAAAUAGUCGCUGAGUCCGGAUAAUGAGAGUCUCGAGGGCCUUUAAAAAAGCCUUUGCGUCUCUUUAAGUGCGAUAACACAUCUAGUUGUUACUCGACCAGGGAGCAUUUAUCUGGUUGAUGCUUGAUACUUGACUUCGGUCAUUCUCUGCAUCUGACUUGGAAUGUCUCAUGAAACUGUUUAGAGUUGACACCGUGUUUGAAAGGAAGAAAUCUUAACUGAUAAUUCGAUCUCAAAUGAAGCAAGACUACCCGCCGAAUUUAAGCAUAUAAUUAAGCGGAGGAAAAGAAACUAACAAGGAUUCCCCUAGUAACGGCGAGUGAACCGGGAAAAGCUCAAAGUUUAAAUCGACGUUCCUAACGGGGCGGCGAGAUGUAAGCUCGAGACGGAAGCCCAGCGACGACCCGGGUAUAAAUUCCUUGGAACAGAAUGGCAGAGAGGGUGAGAUCCCCGUCUUUGACCUGGAGAUCGUUGCGUACGGGAACCGGUCAGAGAGUCGUGUACCUUGGGAAUGGUGCACUAAAUGGGUGGUAAAUUCCAUCUAAAGCUAAAUAUCGAUGAGAGACCGAUAGCGAACAAGUACCGUGAGGGAAAGGUGAAAAGAACUUUGAAAAGAGAGUUAAAAAGUACUUGAAAUUGUUAGGAGGUAAGCACUGAGAACCAGUAGUGCUGAGCACAUAUUUUCCUUUCGUAAGUGAUUACUUUUCUUGCGGUACCUCUAAAGGCCGCAGGUUGAGUAAGAAGCGUACGGUGGGCUCCUGUGUGCUUAGUGAGUCAGGAUCGAGUAGAUCUGCGUGAGAAGGCCCUCGUAAGGUGCUCUCAGUGAUGAGAGUCAAGGACUGGGGUUAUAGCGCGGAUUUGCUCGAGGUAUGGCCAAUUCCCGCCGCAAGGCAGCGUAACUGUCUCUGCAAGUGUUCUUGGGACAUAAGGGGAAAACUCCUUAUGCUCGGGGCAUGAGUACUAGAUGGGUAUCGACUUGGGAAUUAGCGAUCCUGACGAAAUGGUUUUCAUUGACCCGUCUUGAAACACGGACCAAGGAGUCUAGCAUAUAUGCGAGUAUUUGGGUGACAAACCCUGGUGCGUAAUGAAAGUGAAAGGUAGGAACCGCGUAAAAACGGCGCACUAUCGACCGAUCUUUUGCUUGCAGAAGAUUUGAGUAGGAGCAUAUCUGCUGGGACCCGAAAGAUGGUGAACUAUGCCUGAUCAGGGUGAAGCCAGGGGAAACUCUGGUGGAGGCUCGUAGCGAUACUGACGUGCAAAUCGUUCGUCUGAAUUGGGUAUAGGGGCGAAAGACUAAUCGAACCAUCUAGUUGCUGGUUCACGC
This 1780-nucleotide unclassified non-coding RNA is filed under the name uncultured fungus. Its description in RNAcentral is "sequence contains 18S rRNA gene, ITS1, 5.8S rRNA gene, ITS2, 28S rRNA gene". The stretch from base 684 to 1780 matches the Rfam family "Eukaryotic large subunit ribosomal RNA", at positions 1 to 961 of the family's 3401-position model. Lineage: Eukaryota; Fungi. The record is from RNAcentral.